Molecule: long non-coding RNA, 444 nt
Organism: Homo sapiens (human)
Lineage: Eukaryota; Metazoa; Chordata; Mammalia; Primates; Hominidae
Gene: LEF1-AS1
Product: LEF1 antisense RNA 1
Source: Ensembl
GCCCCUUUGUGUGACUAAAUUUGGCAAGAAUAUGGAUCUGAGCCAGUCUUUCCACGUGUGCUCCCAGCUCCCAGCUGAGAAGGCCAAGGGUUCUCUUCCGGAUGCAGCCUUUUUGAAAUUUAUUCUUGGCCAAAAGAGGAAGAUAGUUCAAGGAUUCUAUCUUGCUUUUGGGGGGCAAUGGAGAAACCCUGAAAACACUUAAGGAAAACCUGAGGCCUUCUAUAAGAAAAUAAACUCCCUGAAAGGGGAGGCAGGGCCAAGGAAUUUACUUAUUUUUAUAAAUCUCUUUCCUGGGUGGAUAUGUGCUCCAGGAAAGUACCUGAUUGACAAGAUCUACAUCCAAUGCCCAGAAAACACAUCCUACACAGGCACAGUGAAGCGUGGAGUUGAAGAAUUUUCCAGUGAGUUCCAUCAAAGUAAAUAAACCAACCUAGAGCAUCAGGA